CCGGCAGACAAACAGUAUAGACAGACAGGUAGACAGACCGGUAGACAGACCGGUAGAUAGACAGGUAUAGACAGGUAGAUAGACAGUAUAGACAGACCAGGACAGACAGGCAGACAGACCGGCAGACAGACCGGCAGACAGACCGGCAGACAGACCGGCAGACAGACCGGGAGACAGAACGGCAGACAGACCGGCAGACAGACCGGUAGACAGACCGGUAGACAGACCGGUAGAUAGACCGGUAGAUAGACAGACCGGUAGACAGACCGGUAGACAGACAGGUAGACAGACAGGCAGACAGACAGUAUAGACAGACAGGUAGAUAGACCGGUAGACAGACCGGUAGACAGACAGUAUCGGCAGACAGGCAGACAGACCGGUAGAUAGACAGGUAUAGACAGGUAGAUA
Molecule: long non-coding RNA, 408 nt
Organism: Oncorhynchus keta (chum salmon)
Lineage: Eukaryota; Metazoa; Chordata; Actinopteri; Salmoniformes; Salmonidae
Exons: 3
Source: RefSeq, a predicted model, not a curated record